CGGCGGACGGGUGAGUAACGCGUGGGUAACCUGCCUCAUACAGGGGGAUAACAGUUGGAAACGGCUGCUAAUACCGCAUAAGCGCACAGUACUGCAUGGUACGGUGUGAAAAACUCCGGUGGUAUGAGAUGGACCCGCGUCUGAUUAGGUAGUUGGUGGGGUAACGGCCUACCAAGCCGACGAUCAGUAGCCGACCUGAGAGGGUGACCGGCCACAUUGGGACUGAGACACGGCCCAA
This 238-nucleotide ribosomal RNA is filed under the name uncultured bacterium. Its description in RNAcentral is "partial 16S ribosomal RNA". It matches the Rfam family "Bacterial small subunit ribosomal RNA", at positions 96 to 334 of the family's 1533-position model. The record is from RNAcentral.